RNAcentral lists this ribosomal RNA (1258 nucleotides) under uncultured archaeon. Its description in RNAcentral is "bacterial SSU rRNA". It matches the Rfam family "Archaeal small subunit ribosomal RNA", at positions 4 to 1162 of the family's 1478-position model. The record is from RNAcentral.
CCGGUUGAUCCUGCCGGCGACCACCGCUAUUGGAAUUCGAUUAAGACAUGCGAGUCUUAAGGACCUUCGGGUCCUUGGCAUACGGCUCAGUAACACGCGGACAAUCUGCCCUUUGGAGGGGAAUAAUCUCGGGAAACUGAGGAUAAUACCCCAUAGUCCAUGGAUGCUGGAAUGCUUCAUGGGCAAAAGCUCCGGCGCCAAAGGAUGAGUCUGCGGCCUAUCAGGUAGUAGUGGGUGUAACGGACCCACUAGCCAACGACGGGUACGGGCGCUGGGAGACGUCGCCCGGAGAUGGAUUCUGAGACACGAAUCCAGGCCCUACGGGGCGCAGCAGUUACGAAAACUUGGCAAUGCGGGAAACCGCGACCAGGGAAUUCCAAGUGCAUGCACUUUGUGUAUGCUGUUCCAUUGUCUUAAAAACAUAGGAAGUAAGGGCUGGGUAAGACAGGUGCCAGCCGCCGCGGUAAUACCUGCAGCCCGAGUGGUGGCCGAUAUUAUUGAGCCUAAAGCGUCCGUAGCCGGUCUGGUAAAUUCUUGGGUAAAUCGAGCAGCUUAACUGUUCGAAUUCCGAGGAGACUGCCAGACUUGGAACCGGGAGAGGUCAGAGGUACUCCAGGGGUAGGGGCUAAAUCUGGUAUGGUUUCGGCCAUCCAGUUAGCAUUCCUGUAAUCCUUGGGGGACCACCAGUGGCGUACGAAAACGGGGGAUUAACCCGUUAUCGUCCAUAUAAGGCGUCUGACUAGAACGGAUUCGACGGUAAGGGACGAAACCCUGGGGCGCAAUUUUCGAGCCGUAAUCUAUCUCGACUCGAAAGCGCAAACCGGAUUAGAUACCCGGGUAGUCCAGGGCGUAAACGCUGCAGGCUUGGUGUUGGGGACCCCACGAGGGUGCCCAGUGCCGGAGUGAAGAUGUUAAGCCUGCCGCUUGGGGAGUACGUCCGCAAGGAUGAAACUUAAAGGAAUUGGCGGGUGAGCACAGCAACGGGAGGAGCGUGCGGUUCAAUUGGAUUCAACGCCGGAAAACUCACCGGGAGCGACGAUUACAUGAAGGUCAAGCUGAUGACUUUACUUGAUUUUUCGAGAGGUGGUGCAUGGCCGUCGUCAGUUCGUACCGUAAGGCGUUCUGUUAAGUCAGAUAACGAACGAGACCCUCACCCUUAAUUGCCAGUUCAUUCUCCGGAAUGGGCGCACAUUAAGGGGACCGCUGGUGCUAAAUCAGAGGAAGGGGAGGUCAACGGUAGGUCAGUAUGCCCCGAAUC